Long non-coding RNA from Trichechus manatus latirostris (Florida manatee), 6234 nucleotides. RefSeq lists it as uncharacterized. The record is from RefSeq and is a predicted model, not a curated record. NCBI's taxonomy places the organism in Eukaryota, Metazoa, Chordata, Mammalia, Sirenia, Trichechidae. The transcript has 2 exons.
AGACUCUUGGAAGCCUAUAUGAGGAAGGAAUACCACAGCUCGCUCGCUUGCUUUCUCUCUUUCCGAAGUUUUAUCUAUUUAUUUUUUUCUAAGAUUAGUCGCGCUCCCAAAGAGCAGGUGCAAGCUUUGCACUGUGAUGCUCUGCAGACCUGAAUCCUCCGUGCAGUCGCCUCCUUAGCCUGGCCAAGCGCGCGCACCCGGGAAGCCAUGGGACUGGAUCCCGGCCCGGACUAGUUUUAUGCUAAUGAACGCUCAGUGGGGGAGGACCUACCGAGAGGGGGCGGGAGUGGGGCAACUCGUCAGUUCUGGGGUAGAAAUGCUCAUUUGACCCCAUUUCAGAGUUCUGUCUUGCCCCACCGUUGGCUGCAGAGAAGCGCAGAGGGAAAAGUUCAGAGAUGCUGGGAGGAAGCGAGUAGGGGAAGUUGUAGCCCUGAAGCGGGCGCGACGGAACUGCGCGCAAAAUUUGUGCGAGGUGUUUCGUGCGCGUCAAAUGAAAAGUCUAAAGACCGGAAGAAGCAAUUGAGUUUUACAUUUUUAGGUUGCGUGCUCCAGGUAGAGUUAGGGAAUCUGGGAUGGGAAGCAAAGAGGGGUAGGAUGAGACUAGAAGGAAACGAGUGAAAAAGCCCCGAACUAUUUCUUCCUUGGAAGAAGACUCUUGGCUAGUGCCCUCAGAAGGCUGUAAAGCGAAAAAGAUGCCAACCCCAAACCAGCAAAUACCUCAUCCUGACCUAGUCAGGAACUUCUUCGAAUAUUUAUUUGCCAUUCUUCGCAAAUGGGGCAUUUCUGCUAUCUUUGUAUGAAUGGGGUGUGUGUGUGUAUACAUACGUGGGCUCGUGCCCAGGUGUAUGGACAGGUGGUAGUGAAGAUUGUGGGGAAUCUUGAUUACUAAACGUCAUUUACUCAGAUAAUUGGAAUACUUAGAAGUCCAGAAGACAAAAUGUUUGCCAAAAAUCUAUUAUUAAAACUAGUUGAAUCAGGGCAGAAAAUUGUUACGGAGUUGUUAUAUAAAGGAUGCUAGUUGAAAUUUGAAAGCCAGUUCAGAUGUGGAUGUUAUAAAAUUGCCUACCUAUGUAGUAAAUUGGUGAAGCGCUACUAUUUUUCUCUUUAGUAAUCAGACGUUCACUCUGCCCUUGCAUCUUCUUUGUGUGUUUCUUACAGCACACACGGUACUGUAAUAAUCAAUGACCAUUUCAUAUAUGCAAGAAAAUUGCUCGAGAAACUUCCUUCAGUGACUGAAACGUUAUGAUCAAAGUAAAACAGGUAGCGUUACACCUCUUACAGUUAUUCUCUUCAUCUUUUUUCCCCCCUGAAAUUUUGUACCAAGACUUUGGAAUUUAAGUCCUCUCCACGUGCUUGUAGAAUACUUCUAAAGUUAUUAACUAAUUUUUUUUAAUGUAAGGUUUUUUAAAAUCUGAGAGUAACAAUAGCUCUCGAGUUUAAAUGUACAGAACCAGGACAAGUUAAAACCAGUAGAACAGUUUACCCUUCAAAAACAACUCAUAUCUCAUCACUACACUAAUUGUAUUUCAAUCACCUGGUCUUAAUAUUUUGCAAUUAAAUGUGUUGUUUUAAAAGUCUAUUUUAGAUUAUUUUUUAAGUUUAAAUAUGGUAAAUUUAUUGAUUUACUAUGGCAGAGUGAUCUUUUAGGACUACCCAACUUACUCAAACUUAAAAAUAUGCAGAUAUUGUAGUUAGUAACCUUAGAAGAUGUAUAGUUGCAGAUAUCUACCUAGGUUUUCCUAGCUGUGCCACUGAUCUAAGAAAUAGAAGACUUAUAACGGAAAGUAUGUUGUUUGCAUCGUAAGAGACUUUUCUGUUUUAAUGUCAAUUACAAGUAUUGUCUUAUUUUCUAACAGUGAAAGCAAUAAAUUAAAAUGUUUUGCAUCUUAAACUUAUGAAACUGAAGUUACUUUUGUCAUUCAAGUCCAGUUUAUGCCUUUGGUAUCAAGAUCCUUUUUUAUUCAUCUAGAUAUAUUGAUUUCUUUCACUCUUGUUCUUUCUCCUCUGGCUUCUUAAGAGACUAUCAAAGGGAAUAAUUUAUGCAGUGGAUAAGAGAAACUGUGCAAAAAGGCAAACCACGUAAAAUAAUAUGUGGUGCACAAGAAACAUUAAAUCUUAGCAUAAGUAGUUUUUUUCCAAAACAUAUCUAGUUCUGUCUCACAACUGCAUUUACCAGACGUUUUUCUAGAUACCAGGGAAUCUGAGGAACAAAAAUUAUGCUAAAGAAAAGAAAGGUUCAUAAACUUGCUUAAAGUGACUCAGUUAGUAGCAAACCUUAGAGUGGAAUUAAUUUGCUUAGGGCUAUUGCAUCAAUAUGCUAACUAUGAAAACUAGGAUAAAUGCUGAAACCAUCUGUCAUUACCACAAAGAGAUGGGAAAGAGAAUAUCACCUGCUACCUAGUAAAGCUAAAAGUAAGGGUAUCAAAACAUGGAAGAAAUUGUAAGGAAAUGUAUUUGAAAGUUUUCAAAGGACAAAGUCUAACCUUGAUCAGUUUCCUCCAAUUAUUAUUUUUCGAACUGAACGUUAGUUGCAUGAACUUGGCUGUUGCAAUAGAGGUCAGUUAAUUAACUGGUAAUCCUUAAACAACGACAAAAAUAAGAAAAGUAAUUAUGUACAUGGUCAAGUCUCUGUUUGCAUAAAUCAAUUGUUUGUAGGUUUGAGUUAGGAUUCAAUUUUCCGUGAACUCAGGUAAUAAAGAGUGACUCUGUCCUAUUGUUUUAUCUAAAAUUCUUAUUUCUUUGAAUACUGCUGGGAUAUUAUUUCUGCUUCAGGAUCUUUCAAAGCAGAUUGUGACUUGGGCCUUAUGUAGUUUUAGAUUUGUGGCAUAUUAACUUAAAUAGAUUUCGGUUAGUUUUAUUAGACUUAUGUACAUACAUAUAUUCACAGAAAAUACUCUUUUGUCUUAAAAGAUACCAUCUGUUGACAGCAAAUUGAAAGACUUCCCAAGCCUUCAAUGUUCUGUAGAUGCAUAUGAAUGAAACUUUAGGACAAGACGUGCAAAAUAUUUUCCAACUCUUGGUUCUACUUAUUUAUCAGGGUUUUUGUUUUUCAUUAAUUUUAAUAAGAUGGCAUGCUGAACCAGUCUAUAUUUAUUUAACAUUUCCUCCACUGCAUGCUUUUUAAUGGCAUAGAUACAGAAAGUUUGAAAAUGAAUGCAGAUUCACUUUUAACACUUAAUUACAUGCUUCUUACAGAGAAAUUCAAUAAUUACUUCAAAUGAAGAGGGGCUAUGCUUCUGAAGUUUUUGUAUUAUAGUAGAUUAAUGUUUCUUAUAAAGCCUAAUGUUUCCUUUUAUAACUUCAAGAAAGAAUAUAUCAUAAUUAGAAGAGUAAAGCUUAAAGUACAAGUUUAGUUCCACUGCUUAUUUCUAUGUUUUUAAAUUGUUAGCAAAUUAUAGUUUAAUUAAUAUAUGAAUAAAAUCUAAGAAUAUCUUAACCUAGGAUUUGCCUUGUUCAAUGACAUUAUAUUGCAGAAUGCAAACUCUUGAGUUAUUUGGAUGUCUUUCAAACCUGUUGUUUUUCUUGGAGUUAGUUUCCAAUAAUAUCUUAGCCAUUAUUGUAAAACAGUGUACAUAGAAGAUGGUUUACUUUCUGACCUCCCUAGAUUAUUAGUUAAUGCUCUGAAGCACGCAAUUGGAUUCACGGAUAUGAUAUUUUACUUUGUGCGGCUUCAAAUAUUAUAUAGAAGAAGCUACAAGACAGGCAAUUUUUCCAGAAUUCCCUUACACACAAUUCUAUGUUUUAGCUUUUGGAACGGAAUUUUCAAAUCUUUAUUAGUCCAAAUCAGCUGUUAUUUUUUGUUUACUGCAUUGAAUUUCACGGAAAUUGCGUGUAAUUUACUGAAACAAAUAUUAGCCACCCUCUUGUUUCCUCACUACCUCCCCCAGCACCCUGAGAUGUGACACCCAAUAUUGAUUAAAGUCUUGGCUGGAUUUGAACAUAAAUCACUCUUCUCUUUGGCGAUUUACUAUGUGUGAUUCACCAGCACAAGAAAACACAGUAUGCUUUAUCGUUUCUCAUUUGAUGUUUUGUUUUUGGAUGUAAGUAGCGUUUGUAAAUUAGCUUAAUGUUUAACCCAGUAGUUGUUAUUUAAGAACAAUUUGUGCUUUGACUCUCAAUUAGUAUUAUUUUGUCUUUCCAAGUUACUCUACUAAAUUGUUUCAUACAAUUGCCUUUGUCAAUCAAGUAAAAUAAUCAUUUAAAUUGUAUUAGCAACAUAGAACACAAGUAUUGCAAAAUAUAAUACGAAAUGCAACUCUCCCAUGUUGUAAACUGUCUUCCUUUGAAUCCUUGUCUGGAGAAAUUAGUUUACAGUAUGCCUUCUAAAUAGGUACAGGUGAGUCUUUCAGAGUUUAUUAAACAUGUAGAUUUUAAGGUUUUUGUUACUUGGUUCUUUUAAAAAGUUAAACUUUAUCUGAAUUUUAUCUUUCAAGGAUUUCUUUGUCAGAUUAUUCACAAAAAAAAAACAUCAAGUUAUGUACCUUUAAAAUGACAGGAAAUGUAAAAAUUGAUCUUAACUAUUUGGGUAUUUACAAAUGAAAUUAAAAUAGUGUUUUAUCAUUUUAUGUUGAAAUAGUUAUAAAAAUAGAAUGACUUAGCUUGUGUCAUUCUCUUAACUAAGGUAAUGCAUUAUGAUUGGUCAGUUAUAGUUUUGUGUGUGUGUGUGUGUGUGUGUGUAUUGUCUAAAUGCUGCAGCUUAAAUAUUUUAGCUGGGAACAAACUUCUAUUUAUAUUUUCAGACUUUGAGACUACAUUAAGAAGCCCCUUUUCCACUGUAUUUUGUUUUCUCAGUAAUUAAUUUUCCUAAAGAAGAAAACACUGAAUUAAAAAUCUGCUUUAUGGAGCUUAGAUAAACAUAAUAUUAAAGGCUCUGAUCUGCACAGAUGUAUAUCUGAGGCACAGCAGAGGCUCUCAGUGAGCCUACUUCGUUCUCACAUUCCUUUCCUUUUCCUCAACUUGCCAGAAAUAUUUCUUGUAGAAAGUUUUUGUUUUUUUUUUUUGCUACAGUAGCUGUCUUUUUAAAUAAGUUUUUGUAGCUGAAAUUUGCUUUCUAGCGUACAUCACAGAACAGGAGUGACUUAUUAGAACAGUUACUUCACCAAAUUAUUUCUUUCUGAAACAAGAAUACCAAGGAUAAGAUGUUUAUAUUUGGUCUAGCAAUUCGUAUUUGGAUUAACUGACAGUCACUUUAUUUUUAUGCAGCAGUGCUAUUUGCUUUAAGAAGUACGUAAGAGUUUUUUGAAGAGUGUUUCUUGCUGCUCAUUGUAGACAGUGCAUGACUAUGCUUGAAUGUGCAACUGACUAUGAACAGAAUUUUCAACCCAGUAUGAGUUAGUCAAUUAGACAAUAAACCAGUGAAAACACAUUGUUUUUCAACUUAAUAAAGGUAUUAAAAUUAGUAGAAUAAAAUAGCAGAUAAAUGUCUAAUUAAAAAAAAAAAGUCAAAUCAUAUAUAGAGAAUGACCCAAAUCACCACUUGGUUCAAAUUGAGGACCUCGAACCAGGUACAUUUUAAAUAUUUUGGUGUAUUCUGACAUGUUUUUAGGAGGAUUUUAACUUACCCAUUUAAAAUAUAUAUAUUUUUAGAUUUUUCCAAAUUGUAUACUGAGUUAUCCAAUGAUUGCAUUUUGCCAGAGGUGUGGCCCUGUUGCUUUCUGAUCCAAAUUGGCUUGGUGUUGAUCCAGGAUGUCAAGCUGGGAUUCUUCUGCACCUUAAAUAGCAGUUUCGAGAAGACUCCUCUUGCCACUAAUACUAACAAAUGAAGGUGAUAAAUUUAACGCAUAAAAAUAAUUUUUAUUUUAGUUGGAUUCACUUGUUGUCAUGUGGAAUGGGACUAAGUUGGAAAACAAGUUAAUAGUAUGUUCAGAAUAAAGAGGAAUUUAGGUAUGUAGUAGUUUGCUUAAUUUCUUGAAUAUAAAAAUGCUGUAUUAUAUAUACCCAAAUGCGUAACUGAUAUACAGUACUCAGGGGCAUAGUAUCUCUUUGCUUCUACCUGACAGUGUUAUAUGUAUCACCAUUAGAUGACAGAAUGAGGACGUACCUCUCCAUACAGCUCAAUCUUACAUUCAUGAAAAUACAUAAUAAAUGGGAAAGCAACAUACACACACAUAUAAAUAUAUAUAUACAUCCCAAAAUAUCUGCUAUUACAAUUAUGACAGUUAAGUAAUUCCAUGAUUGGAUUUUGGAAAUAAGGUUAAUAAAUUCCUUUCCCAAUUUAAAAAAAAAAAAAACAAU